CCUACGGGAGGCUGCAGUGAGGAAUAUUGGUCAAUGGCCGGAAGGCUGAACCAGCCACGCCGCGUGAAGGACGAAGGUUCCAAGCAUUGUAAACUUCUUUUGUCAAGGAACAAAAUCAGGCUCGAGAGCCUGACCGCGGGUACUUGUAGAAAAAGCAUCGGCUAACUCGGUGCCAGCAGCCGCGGUAAUACGGAGGAUGCGAGCGUUAUCCGGAUUUAUUGGGUUUAAAGGGUGGGUAGGCGGGGUGUUAGGUCAGAGGUAAAAGCCCGGGGCGCAACCCCGGAGAGCCGUUGAAACUGGGUGUCUUGAGAGGACGAGAGGUAUGCGGAAUGCGCAGUGUAGCGGUGAAAUGCUUAGAUAUUGCGCAGAACUCCGGUUGCGAAGGCAGCAUACCGGCGGGGAUCUGACGCUGAGGCACGAAAGCGUGGGUAUCGAACAGGAUUAGAUACCCUGGUAGUC
This 459-nucleotide ribosomal RNA is filed under the name uncultured bacterium. RNAcentral describes it as "partial 16S ribosomal RNA". It matches the Rfam family "Bacterial small subunit ribosomal RNA", at positions 338 to 795 of the family's 1533-position model. The record is from RNAcentral.